AGAUUCGGAGGGGCCGAGAUUUAAAUUUAAUAGAAAAAAAUUCGACCUCGAACGAUAAGAAAAAAAAAAUUUGUCGGAUUCACUGGUUACCUAUUACUAGCAACAAUAGCGACAUUGUGCUUAAAAAAAAAUAAAACUGUAAGAGUUGAAGGAAAAAGACCAAGGGAUUCAAAAAAAAAAUUAGGACAUAAGUUUUAUUAAAAAAAUUAAUUUGGCCCCAAAAAAUUAUAAAUUAUAAUAUUUUAAUUUUUAUUAUAAAGAAAUUUUAUGUAAUUUUAAAAAGUUUAGGAGG
RNAcentral lists this long non-coding RNA (292 nucleotides) under Ananas comosus (pineapple). RNAcentral's name for it is "long non-coding RNA (ACOM_LNC006134)". Lineage: Eukaryota; Viridiplantae; Streptophyta; Magnoliopsida; Poales; Bromeliaceae. The record is from RNAcentral.